UUUGGCAUUGGGUUUACGCGCAAUAAUGCCGUUGCCGACUGCAUGCAACAGGUGAGUUUUCCCCAGGCCCGUACCGCCGUA
Non-coding RNA from Pantoea ananatis LMG 20103, 81 nucleotides. It matches the Rfam family "antisense RNA of dnaA mRNA". The record is from Rfam. Lineage: Bacteria; Pseudomonadati; Pseudomonadota; Gammaproteobacteria; Enterobacterales; Erwiniaceae.